This 448-nucleotide ribosomal RNA is filed under the name Neisseria arctica. Its description in RNAcentral is "bacterial SSU rRNA". It matches the Rfam family "Bacterial small subunit ribosomal RNA", at positions 22 to 466 of the family's 1533-position model. The record is from RNAcentral. Lineage: Bacteria; Pseudomonadati; Pseudomonadota; Betaproteobacteria; Neisseriales; Neisseriaceae.
GCUCAGAUUGAACGCUGGCGGCAUGCUUUACACAUGCAAGUCGAACGGCAGCACGAAAGAGCUUGCUCUUUUGGUGGCGAGUGGCGAACGGGUGAGUAAUACAUUGGAACGUACCGAGUAAUGGGGGAUAACUGUCCGAAAGGAUGGCUAAUACCGCAUACGCUCUGAGGAGGAAAGCGGGGGACCUUCGGGCCUCGCGUUAUUCGAGCGGCCAAUGUCUGAUUAGCUAGUUGGUGGGGUAAAGGCCUACCAAGGCGACGAUCAGUAGUGGGUCUGAGAGGAUGAUCCGCCACACUGGGACUGAGACACGGCCCAGACUCCUACGGGAGGCAGCAGUGGGGAAUUUUGGACAAUGGGCGAAAGCCUGAUCCAGCCAUGCCGCGUGUCUGAAGAAGGCCUUCGGGUUGUAAAGGACUUUUGUCAGGGAAGAAAGGGUUUGGGUUAAUAC